Molecule: ribosomal RNA, 468 nt
Filed under: uncultured bacterium
Lineage: Bacteria
Description: partial 16S ribosomal RNA
Rfam family: Bacterial small subunit ribosomal RNA
Source: RNAcentral
GACGAACGCUGGCGGCGUGCUUAACACAUGCAAGUCGAACGGAAAGGCCCUGCUUUUGUGGGGUGCUCGAGUGGCGAACGGAUGAGUAACACAUGAGUAACCUGCCCUUGACUUUGGGAUAACUUCAGGAAACUGGGGCUAAUACCGGAUAGGAGCUCCUGCUGCAUGGUGGGGGUUGGAAAGUUUCGGCGGUUGGGGAUGGACUCGCGGCUUAUCAGCUUGUUGGUGGGGUAGUGGCUUACCAAGGCUUUGACGGGUAGCCGGCCUGGGAGGGUGACCGGCCACAUUGGGACUGAGAUACGGCCCAGACUCCUACGGGAGGCAGCAGUGGGGAAUAUUGCACGAUGGGCGGAAGCCUGAUGCAGCAACGCCGCGUGCGGGAUGACGGCCUUCGGGUUGUACACCGAUUUCGCCUGUGCCGAAGCGUGAGUGACGGUAAUGGGUAAAGAAGCACCGGCUAACUACGUG